GACGAACGCUGGCGGCGUGCUUAACACAUGCAAGUCGGGCGGUAAGGCCCUUUCGGGGGUACACGAGCGGCGAACGGGUGAGUAACACGUGGGUGACCUGCCCUCAGCUCUGGGAUAAGCCUGGGAAACUGGGUCUAAUACUGGAUAUGACUCCACGGUGCAUGUCGUGGGGUGGAAAGCCUUGUGCGGCUGAGGAUGGGCCCGCGGCCUAUCAGCUUGUUGGUGGGGUGANGGCCCUACCAAGGCGACGACGGGUAGCCGGCCUGAGAGGGCGACCGGCCACACUGGGACUGAGACACGGCCCAGACUCCUACGGGAGGCAGCAGUGGGGAAUCUUGCGCAAUGGGCGAAAGCCUGACGCAGCGACGCCGCGUGAGGGAUGACGGCCUGG
This 391-nucleotide ribosomal RNA is filed under the name uncultured bacterium. Its description in RNAcentral is "bacterial SSU rRNA". It matches the Rfam family "Bacterial small subunit ribosomal RNA", at positions 28 to 419 of the family's 1533-position model. The record is from RNAcentral.